UGAAAAUCUCAUGUAAUUUAAGACAUGGCCAUUCCUCUUCCCUCAUAAUUUAUGUUAUGUACUCAAAAAUCAAUGAUCAUUCAUUCUGGAGCAAAGGAUCUGUAGCUUAUUUUGCAUUUGGGUGCGUGAACGUCUUUGAAAACUCUUCCCGCAUAGUACAUUAAUUCCAGUUUUCUCCAAGCCAAGUUACAAGAAGCAGCAAAGACAUGCCCCCAUAAAAGUUGAGGAACUUGUGAUGUGUGAGCUAAUUAGAUGUGUCAAUUAUCUAACUUUCUUUUUUAUUUUGGAAGUUUGUUUCCAGCCAAUGUCGCCAAAUUAAUUUUGGUAUCUAGGCACGGGAGACGUUGGGAGUUUCACCAAAUUAUGUCGUCAGUCCAUCAUCUACCGAGUGAGGAAUCCGUAGGAUAGUAAAGGUUUUUCCUAUCCCAAAAGCUAACUAGUGAGGUGUGAGACUCCUCCACUUAUAUAUUAGGUCAUUUGUCCUUCCACGACCAACAUG
RNAcentral lists this long non-coding RNA (499 nucleotides) under Oryza brachyantha (malo sina). RNAcentral describes it as "long non-coding RNA (OBRA_LNC001170)". Lineage: Eukaryota; Viridiplantae; Streptophyta; Magnoliopsida; Poales; Poaceae. The record is from RNAcentral.